This is a non-coding RNA of Pelobates cultripes (western spadefoot toad), 319 nucleotides long. The record is from the annotation of a GenBank genome assembly. Lineage: Eukaryota; Metazoa; Chordata; Amphibia; Anura; Pelobatidae.
UAGUCAAUGAGUAGGUGCAUCUGGAGGAAAUUAAAUUUGAAAUGCUGGUGAGGGUCUAUGUAUUUUAAAAAGGAAGUAUAUCCCCAAAUUGUGUAAGUCUGCCACUUUAAAUAAACAUGGAUUUACAAUUACCUUUACAUUAGAUCUAAGUGAGUUUCUGUGAUUUUUUUUAAUUUCAUUUCUACAAGCAUAACACAUACUGUAUAACUGGAAUUUGCUCUCUUGUCACAGUGAUAAAUUAGUCUGCCGUUGUGAUAAUAAUACCAGAUCCAUUCCCAGCCAGACUGUCGGAGGAUGCCAAGGAUGUACGUAAUUCCAG